Molecule: ribosomal RNA, 253 nt
Filed under: uncultured bacterium
Lineage: Bacteria
Description: partial 16S ribosomal RNA
Rfam family: Bacterial small subunit ribosomal RNA
Source: RNAcentral
UACGAAGGGGGCUAGCGUUGCUCGGAAUCAUUGGGCGUAAAGCGCGCGUAGGCGGCCCGAUAAGUCCGCUGUGAAAGUCAAAGGCUCAACCUUUGAAUGCCGGUGGAUACUGUCGGGCUAGAGUCCGGAAGAGGCGAGUGGAAUUCCUGGUGUAGCGGUGAAAUGCGCAGAUAUCGGGAAGAACACCCGUGGCGAAGGCGGUUCUCUGGGACGGUACUGACGCUGAGACGCGAAAGCGUGGGGAGCGAACAGG